Molecule: transfer-messenger RNA, 68 nt
Filed under: Escherichia coli
Lineage: Bacteria; Pseudomonadati; Pseudomonadota; Gammaproteobacteria; Enterobacterales; Enterobacteriaceae
Also listed under: 1 other name
Description: partial transfer-messenger RNA
Rfam family: transfer-messenger RNA
About the family: Bacterial tmRNA, also known as 10Sa RNA or SsrA, is named for its dual tRNA and mRNA-like properties. Its role is to liberate the mRNA from a stalled ribosome. To accomplish this part of the tmRNA is used as a reading frame that ends in a translation stop signal.
Source: RNAcentral
UGACUAAGCAUGUAGUACCGAGGAUGUAGGAAUUUCGGACGCGGGUUCAACUCCCGCCAGCUCCACCA